Molecule: unclassified non-coding RNA, 254 nt
Filed under: Hevea brasiliensis (rubber tree)
Lineage: Eukaryota; Viridiplantae; Streptophyta; Magnoliopsida; Malpighiales; Euphorbiaceae
Source: RNAcentral
GGACAACAAGAAGAACCGGAUUGUACCGCGGCAUGUGUGCCUGGCGGUGAGAAAUGAUGAGGAGCUUGGAAGGCUGUUGGGUGGUGUUACUAUUGCUCACGGUGGAGUCCUCCCCAGCAUUAACCCUGUUCUGCUGCCAAAGAAGACUGGCAAGGAGGGGACUGAGCCCAAGUCCCCAAAGAAGGCUACCAAAUCGCCCAAGAAGGCUUAAAUAAGUUAUCGAGUUUUCUAAUGUAUGUAUGUAAUUUCCUAGG